This 65-nucleotide transfer RNA is filed under the name Tarbinskiellus portentosus. RNAcentral's name for it is "tRNA-Pro". RNAcentral also lists the same sequence under 1 other name. Lineage: Eukaryota; Metazoa; Arthropoda; Insecta; Orthoptera; Gryllidae. The record is from RNAcentral.
CAGAGAGUAGUUUAAUUAAAAUUUCAAUUUUGGGGAUUGAUGAUAGGCUAAUAGUCUUUCUCUGA